AACGAACGCUGGCGGCAUGCCUAACACAUGCAAGUCGAACGAGACCUUCGGGUCUAGUGGCGCACGGGUGCGUAACGCGUGGGAACCUGCCCUUAGGUUCGGAAUAACACCCCGAAAGGGGUGCUAAUACCGGAUAAUGUCUUCGGACCAAAGAUUUAUCGCCUUUGGAUGGGCCCGCGUUGGAUUAGCUAGUUGGUAGGGUAAAAGCCUACCAAGGCGACGAUCCAUAGCUGGUCUGAGAGGAUGAUCAGCCACACUGGGACUGAGACACGGCCCAGACUCCUACGGGAGGCAGCAGUGGGGAAUAUUGGACAAUGGGCGAAAGCCUGAUCCAGCAAGGCCGCGUGAGUGAUGAAGGCCUUAGGGUUGUAAAGCUCUUUACCCGGGAUGAUAAUGACAGUACCGGGAGAAUAAGCUCCGGCUAACUCCGUG
RNAcentral lists this ribosomal RNA (432 nucleotides) under uncultured bacterium. RNAcentral describes it as "partial 16S ribosomal RNA". It matches the Rfam family "Bacterial small subunit ribosomal RNA", at positions 29 to 507 of the family's 1533-position model. The record is from RNAcentral.